CAGUCGUACCGGCGGGUAAUCAGCCUUUCGGGUAUGAUUCUGUGGAGUGUGGGGAGCUAAACACCCUCAUGCCUGCAUAUUCGUGCUCUUGGGUGUACUUGCUCGUGGUUAGUUAACAUCAAUUUUGGUUAUCAUAAAAUGGUUGGAGGAAUGUAGCUUCGAUCUCGUAUUGAAGUGUUAUAGCCUUCGGCAGAUGUGAUGUUUGAGACCGAGGAUUGC
RNAcentral lists this ribosomal RNA (219 nucleotides) under Glomus sp. (unid). Lineage: Eukaryota; Fungi; Glomeromycota; Glomeromycetes; Glomerales; Glomeraceae. The record is from RNAcentral.